RNAcentral lists this non-coding RNA (45 nucleotides) under Schistosoma mansoni. The record is from RNAcentral. Lineage: Eukaryota; Metazoa; Platyhelminthes; Trematoda; Strigeidida; Schistosomatidae.
GUCCAGCUGACAAAUCUCAAAUAGAACGGAACGCGCGUUCUGGAU